Molecule: ribosomal RNA, 253 nt
Filed under: uncultured bacterium
Lineage: Bacteria
Description: partial 16S ribosomal RNA
Rfam family: Bacterial small subunit ribosomal RNA
Source: RNAcentral
UACAGAGGGUGCGAGCGUUGUUCGGAAUUACUGGGCGUAAAGGGAGUGUAGGCUGUUUGUUAAGUCUUCUGUGAAAUCUACGGGCUUAGCCUGUAAAGUGCAGAGGAAACUGGCAGUCUUGAGUGUCGGAGAGGAUAGGGGAAUACCCAGUGUAGGGGUGAAAUUCGUAGAGAUUGGGUGGAACACCAGUGGCGAAGGCGCCUGUCUGGCUGACAACUGACGCUGAGACUCGAAAGCAUGGGGAGCAAACAGG